GAAGCCGCCGGGGCCGCCUAGAGAAGAGGCUGUGCUUCGGCGCUCCGGCUCCUCAGAGAGCCUCGGCUAGGUGUGGAAACAGGAAGAGAACUAGAACUGGAAGUAAAGCAUUGAAGAUGUGACUGAAUUGCUGCAAUCUCAUGAUCAAAUUUGAAUGGAUGAGGAGUUGCUUUUUAGGGAUGAGCAAAGAAAGUGGUUUCUCGAGAUGGAAUCUACUGGUUGCUCCUUGAGGGCAGGACAGUUCUUAUGGCUUUAUCCGUUGCGUAAGCACAGAGAGGUCUGCGAGGUCAAAACUAUUGUCAUGAUAGCAAGAUGCCUGUCUUUUUCAUUUAUUCUCACGGUGUGCAGAGGCUACAUGAUGUGUGAUGACAUCCUCAUUGAUGUUAAUGAAUGGUGCUAUACUUGAAUUUUCUAAGGUGUCAUUAGGUAGGUUUAGGUAUGCAUACUUGUUUUUAGAAAUUAUUUUUUUCCUUUUUCCCAUUUUUAGAAAUCAACUCAUUUUUUAGGUUAUGCCUUCAGUAAUCUUUGCAACCUCAAUAUUGUGUAAUGGUUACUUUAAAAUACUGUAGUUUUCUUUGUGCCUAAGUAUAAACAUAAGUACAUUUUGUUGUUUUGUUUGCAAUAGUGGUUUAAAUAUUUUCCCAAAAUAUCCAAAUUUAAAAAUUCUACAACUUUAGAAUUUAAUAAAUUUAUUCUAAAAUAUUUAUAUAUUUUUUCAUUUAAGAAUGGAUCGGCUUAAAAAGACUGCUUCUCAUUUACUUACUGGCUAUACCAUCUGUAUACUAAUAAAAAACAAGAUUUGAUUUGGAAGGACUGACUCAAACUAACGAAAAUAUGAAACCUGUCUUUCUGCUUUGGAGAUAUUUACCUAAUCAUGUUCUGCAGUAGAAUAAUUUAGUUCUUUUGUCUUUUUUUGGAGAUGAGGUCUUGCUGUGUUGCCCAGGCUAUUCACAGCUGCCAUCAUAGUGAACUACAGCCUGAAACUCCUGGGUUCAAGAGAUCCUUCUGCCUCAGCCUCCUGAGUAGCUGGAACUAUAGGCAUGCGCCACCAAGCCUGGGCUUUUAAAAAAAUUUUAAAAAGAAUUUUGAGACAGGAUCUUGCCAUGUUGCUCAGGCUAGUCUUCAACUCCUAGCCCUGAGUGAUCUUGCUUUGGGCCUCUCAAAAUGUUGAGUUAAUAGGCGUGAGCCACCAUACCCAGCCAAAAAUUUUUUUAGAGAUGGGAAUGGAAUGAUCUUGAAUAGUGUUGGUGCCACCUAUGUUGUGGCAUCAUUUUGAAACCAAUCAUUCAGAGUGCUUUUUUUGGUAAGGCAUUAUUUUUUAAUGCAGGUAUGCCACUACUGGGAAAAAAAAAAAAACAGGUUUUAAAGCUAGAAAUGAAAAGCUACUUAAGUAUCUUAAAGGAUAAGUUACUUUAUUAUACACUAGAAACAUACACAAUAGCUGAAAAACUUAAAAAAUCUCACACUGCUGAAUGUCUCUGCUGGCUGAAGUGUAAGUAAAAGAUCAUAGUAGUGCCGCUGUUGAGUGAUAAAGCAACUUGUCAUUAAAGAUGUGUGUGCAGACAUGGAUUCUGAGUUAAUAUCUCAUCUGUAGAAGUAUAUAUUUGUCCCUUGCUUUGGGAUUGGUUUCUGGACAGCACUCCCCCACCCUUGCUGGCCAUUUGCCAAGGACACCAAAACCCAAGGAUGUUGAAUUCCCUUUUAUAAAAUGGCGCUGUAUCUGCAUACAACUUACACACAUCCUCCCAUAUACUUUAAAUCAUUUCCAGAUUUCUUAUACUUCAUACAAUGUGAAUGCUAUAUAAAUAGUUGUUACAUUGUGUACUUAUAUUUGUACUAUUGUAUUAAAUAUUCUCAAAUAUUUUCA
Molecule: long non-coding RNA, 1867 nt
Filed under: Homo sapiens (human)
Lineage: Eukaryota; Metazoa; Chordata; Mammalia; Primates; Hominidae
Description: non-protein coding THUMPD3-AS1:6
Source: RNAcentral